GACUGCUUCAGCAGCAGGCUCCUGACAUGCCUGACCAAACACUGGCCACAGAUAAGAUUUCCUACCACAUUAGCCCCCCAGAUCUCUGCCUGUAGAGUCCAGCGGAAGCAAGAUAGAGGCCUGACUGUGAUGGCAGCCCACCUGCCACACCACCUCCUGGAAUGAGACAGAACUGAUUAAUUGGACUGACCUAGUCCCAGGUCUCAUACUAUUCAAACACUAAUCUGAUUUUUCUGUCAUCCACCACCAAAUCAACUUUUAGCAUGUGGAACUUCUAGAGAAGUUUCAGAUAGGAGAAAUGAAGAAGUUCGAGAAAUGCCAUCCCAAAAUACAUCCCUUUGAUAGACUGAUUACUUCAAAUGGAGGGAACCUGGGGAACAGCAAGGGCAGGGAGGACUUUCUUUGACCUUCCCUUAUCUACCUAAACACGGAUCCUCCAAAAGGAACUUCAGUGUCACGAAUCCCCUCCCCAGGAAUCUUCUCAAUCAGGAAAGAUGAGCUCAGAUCACAGGAGAUGAGACUGGAGGUUGGCACCACGCCCAGAUCUAUUCUUCUGGGACAACUUUUCUUAACUAAGAGACUUAUAAUCUGCAUAACAAGACAACUUUUAUUCACCAUACACUUCCUCCCUGCACCCUCCCAUAAUUUAGGUCACCACCACCUCCUAGAAGCCGCAAGCCCCUCUUUUUUCUGUAGCUCAGGAUGCUAUAUAAGCUUCAAUCAUCUGGCCCUUCUUUGAAUCUCAUAUAUUGUGGGGCUCCUGUGCAUACUUACUUAAUUAAAAUGAGUUUUUUUCUACUGUUAAUCUGCCUUAUGUCAAUUUAAUAUGUAGCCCAGUCAAAGAACCUAGAAGGGUACAGGGAAGCCAUUUUUUGCUCCCCUACACCAGGCACAUAGUUGGGACUUGGGGAUCAAAAAAU
This 920-nucleotide long non-coding RNA is filed under the name Homo sapiens (human). Its description in RNAcentral is "HSALNT0259860". The record is from RNAcentral. Lineage: Eukaryota; Metazoa; Chordata; Mammalia; Primates; Hominidae.